RNAcentral lists this ribosomal RNA (704 nucleotides) under uncultured archaeon. RNAcentral's name for it is "bacterial SSU rRNA". It matches the Rfam family "Archaeal small subunit ribosomal RNA", at positions 47 to 762 of the family's 1478-position model. The record is from RNAcentral.
AGGCAUGCGAGUCGAGAGUCUUCGGGACUCGGCAGACGGCUCAGUAACACGUAGAUAAUCUGCCCUUAGGUGGGGGAUAACCCCGAGAAAUUGAGAAUAAUACCCCAUAGGUCUAAGAUGCUGGAAUGCUUUUAGAUCAAAAGCUCCGGCGCCUAAGGAUGAGUCUGCGGCCUAUCAGGUUGUAGUGAGUGUAACGGACUCACUAGCCGACGACGGGUACGGGUCCUGAGAGGGAGAGCCCGGAGAUGGACUCUGAGACACGAGUCCAGGCCCCAAGGGGCGCAGCAGCUACGAAAACUUCACAAUGCGGGCAACCGCGAUGAGGGAAUUCCAAGUGCUGCAGUUUAACUGUAGCUGUUUUUUUGCCUAAAAAGCAAAUAGAGUAAGGGCUGGGUAAGACUGGUGCCAGCCGCCGCGGUAAUACCAGCAGCCCGAGUGGUGAUCACUUUUAUUGGGCCUAAAGCGUCCGUAGCCGGUUUGGUAAACCCUUGGGUAAAUCGAACAGCUUAACUGUUCGAAUUCUGAGGAGACUGCCAGACUUGGGACUGGGAUAGGUUGGAAGUACUUUUGGGGUAGGGUGAAAUCCUGUAAUCCCAAAAGGACUACCGGUGGCGAAGCGUCCAACUAGAACGGGUCCGACGGUAAUGGACGAAGCCUGGGUCACGAACCGGAUUAGAUACCGGUAGUCCAGGGUGUAAACGCUG